UAUGGGGGGGGCAAGCGUUGUUCGGAAUUACUGGGCGUAAAGGGCUCGUAGGCGGCCAACUAAGUCAGACGUGAAAUCCCUCGGCUUAACCGGGGAACUGCGUCUGAUACUGGGUGGCUUGAAUCCGGGAGAGGGAUGCGGAAUUCCAGGUGUAGCGGUGAAAUGCGUAGAUAUCUGGAGGAACACCGGUGGCGAAGGCGGCAUCCUGGACCGGUAUUGACGCUGAGGAGCGAAAGCCAGGGGAGCAAACGGG
This 253-nucleotide ribosomal RNA is filed under the name uncultured bacterium. RNAcentral describes it as "partial 16S ribosomal RNA". It matches the Rfam family "Bacterial small subunit ribosomal RNA", at positions 524 to 776 of the family's 1533-position model. The record is from RNAcentral.